This 724-nucleotide ribosomal RNA is filed under the name Leptopsylla nana. Its description in RNAcentral is "SSU rRNA". It matches the Rfam family "Eukaryotic small subunit ribosomal RNA", at positions 74 to 739 of the family's 1831-position model. Lineage: Eukaryota; Metazoa; Arthropoda; Insecta; Siphonaptera; Leptopsyllidae. The record is from RNAcentral.
CAUUAAGGUGAAACCGCGAAUGGCUCAUUACAUCAGUUAUGGUUCCUUAGAUCGUACCCACAUUACUUGGAUAACUGUGGUAAUUCUAGAGCUAAUACAUGCAAAUAGAGUUCCGACCAGAGAUGGAAGGAAUGCUUUUAUUAGAUCAAAACCAAUCGGUGGCGGGCUUGCCUUGCUCACCGUUUGACUUGGUGACUCUGAAUAACUUUGUGCUGAUCGCACGGUCUCGUACCGGCGACGCAUCUUUCAAAUGUCUGCCUUAUCAACUGUCGAUGGUAGUUUCUGCGACUACCAUGGUUGUUACGGGUAACGGGGAAUCAGGGUUCGAUUCCGGAGAGGGAGCCUGAGAAACGGCUACCACAUCCAAGGAAGGCAGCAGGCGCGCAAAUUACCCACUCCCGGCACGGGGAGGUAGUGACGAAAAAUAACGAUACGGGACUCAUCCGAGGCCCCGUAAUCGGAAUGAGUACACUUUAAAUCCUUUAGCGAUUAACAAUUGGAGGGAAAGCCUGGUGCCAGCAGCCGCGGUAAUUCCAGCUCCAAUAGCGUAUAUUAAAGUUGUUGCGGUUAAAAAGCUCGUAGUUGAAUCUGUGUCCCACACUGUCGGUUCACCGCUCGCGGUGUUCAACUGGCAUGUCUGUGGGACGUCCUACCGGUGGGCGCAGCCCCUCAAAAGGCGGCCCAACUCAAAUCCUACCACGGUGCUCUUCACCGAGUGUCGAGG